GCAGGGGUGCCGGAGCGGUCAAACGGGCUAGGCUAAGGACCUAGUGGCUCAGUGCCUACCAAGGUUCAAAUCCUUGCCCCUGCA
This 84-nucleotide transfer RNA is filed under the name Candidatus Woesearchaeota archaeon. Its description in RNAcentral is "tRNA-Leu". It matches the Rfam family "tRNA". Rfam says of the family: Transfer RNA (tRNA) molecules are approximately 80 nucleotides in length. Their secondary structure includes four short double-helical elements and three loops (D, anti-codon, and T loops). The record is from RNAcentral. Lineage: Archaea; Nanobdellati; Candidatus Woesearchaeota.